This 497-nucleotide ribosomal RNA is filed under the name uncultured bacterium. RNAcentral's name for it is "partial 16S ribosomal RNA". It matches the Rfam family "Bacterial small subunit ribosomal RNA", at positions 28 to 507 of the family's 1533-position model. The record is from RNAcentral.
GAUGAACGCUGGCGGCGUGCCUAAUACAUGCAAGUCGAGCGAACGGACGAGAAGCUUGCUUCUCUGAUGUUAGCGGCGGACGGGUGAGUAACACGUGGAUAACCUACCUAUAAGACUGGGAUAAAUUCGGGAAACCGGAGCUAAUACCGGAUAAUAUUUUGAACCGCAUGGUUCAAAAGUGAAAGACGGUCUUGCUGUCACUUAUAGAUGGAUCUGCGCUGCAUUAGCUAGUUGGUAAGGUAACGGCUUACCAAGGCAACGAUGCAUAGCCGACCUGAGAGGGUGAUCGGCCACACUGGAACUGAGACACGGUCCAGACUCCUACGGGAGGCAGCAGUAGGGAAUCUUCCGCAAUGGGCGAAAGCCUGACGGAGCAACGCCGCGUGAGUGAUGAAGGUCUUCGGAUCGUAAAACUCUGUUAUUAGGGAAGAACAUAUGUGUAAGUAACUGUGCACAUCUUGACGGUACCUAAUCAGAAAGCCACGGCUAACUACGUG